GUCUUGAGGAAAUGCAAAUUAAAAUUACAAUGAAAUAUCAUUGCAUAUCUAUGAUAUUCUUGUCUGAAGUCAAGAAACAGCCGAUAGUGGAUGUGAAACAACUGGAACUCUCAUUCACUGCUGGUGGGCAUGUACAUUUGUACUAUCACUUCGGAAAACCUUCCCGGUAUCUACUAAAGCCAUUAAUACACAUACCCUAUUCUCCAGAAAUUUCACUCCUAAAAUACCUAUCCAACAGAAGGAAAUACGUGUGUGCAACAAGACAUGUGCAAGAGUGCUCAUGACAACACUAUCCCAAACUGGAACAAACCCAAGUUCCCAUCCACAUCUGAGCGCCAAUUAAAUAAUGGAAUUAAAUAUUCACAUGAAGAAUACUAUUUAGCAAUAAAAACCAACAAACUCUUAUACAUACAACAAUGUGAGUGAAUGCACAAAAAGAAUAUUGAAUGAAUGAAACCAGGCACAAAACAAUACAUACUAUAUGGGCUCAUUUUCAUAAAGUUUAAAACAGGCAAAACUAAUCUAUGAUGAUAGAACUCUGAUUUGUGGUUACCUUUGGGGCUAUACAUUGACUGGGAGAAGACAUGAUCUGGGUGGUGGUCACUGUGUGAAAAUGUGUUAAGCUGCAUACUUAUGAUUUAUGUACUUGUCUAUUUGUAGGUCAUACUUCAUUGAAAAGGAGAAAUGAGGGAAGCUUGUAUAAACAAAAUUUUUUUCAACACCAAAAGAAAAAGGAGACUGCUUGAUUCAUGGGAUGCUGUCUGGGGGUCCACCACCUUUAUUGGCAGAGGGGUUUCAUGACCAUGAUGUUACGUCUGCUCAGUUGGAAAACUCCAAUAUGAAUCAAGACAUCAGAGGAAAUGCGUGGUGAUUCUCCAAGAAGACAAGCUCAUGAAGUCAUCAUCAGUGACGGCAAAGGAAAUUAAGGAAAACCAAGACUUGGUGGAGUUUGUACUGAUCUCACAGAGAGAGGGAAAACAGGGAAAGGGUAAUUUGGAGGAGAAAGUGGCAGGUGAACCAUGCAAGUUUGAAGCCCCUUAGCAUAGACAAUUCUUGAAGAGCUGUCCUAUAAAUGGGGGCUGAGAAAUGGGUGCGUACACCUAUGAGUUCGAGUGGCAAGGAGUUUAGACCGAAUAAUUAAAAUGACGGAGCAUGGACUUUAUGCGGAGGAAGCAGAGAAGCCGUCGGCAAAGGGAUGAGUGGGGGGCAGUGGAAAGGCGGGUAGGAUCAACGGAUUGUUGUGUCCUAUGGACUGUCGAAUGCGGCGGCUGGAGUGUUGACUUUUAUUUUGUAGAUUUCAGCAUAUAUACAUGUUAUGUUACAUAAUAUGUUACAUGUUACAUAAUAUGUUACAUAUGUUAUAUAUUAUAUGCAUAUAUACACACACAUAUUCCCAGAGGAAGUUAAACUUAACCUGGUCCCAUACUACACAUAUAAAAUCUGUAUAUACACAUAUGCAUGUAUACACACAUAGACUUGUAUACACACAUAUAUACGUUUGUAUAUAUAAAAAUAUAUACACGUAUUUUUAAUUUCAUAUAUUUCCCCUCCCCUCCAAGAGCCCUUUCUGACCCCUGACUCCCUUCUUUAGCAGGCCCCAAAUGGUUUCCGUGGGUGGAACAUUUCGCUGCGUUUCGGAGGACCUCAGCGCACGUGGUUUCUUCCUCUGCCGCCGCGGCCCACUUGAUCAGUUUCCUCCUAGUUUUGGCCUGGGGCCCUCCCGCCCGGACUCUGCCGGGUCUGCGGGUCGGGGCGGUCUUUUCACCCCGGAGGAGAGAAAGCAGAGGCCGGGACGGUUUAGAAUGCAAAUGCGGGCUGCUUUUGUAGCUGUGCGUUUGUCUGGGAGCCGUGCGUUUGUUUGGGGUGAGAUCACAGCAAAAGGGUUUUGUUUGGCUUUUUAAAUUCUGGGGAGAGCAAAAGAAACUGGAGGAGCGCAGAGCGCGGAAGACCUCCCCGGCGGGAAGGCGGGGCAGGCACGGGCCCAAUGGCAGCAGCUCUCGGCUUCUGCAGGCCUGGUUUGGAAAGGAACCGGGUCAGAAGGGUGUUGAACAUUAACUCCUUGUGGCCUGGCGGAUGGGGAGUUGGGGGUUUCCAAACUGCUCACCACAGAACACGCAGCCCACUAACACUGUAUUUCGUGCUUCCUUUGUGCCACACCCUGGGGACAUUUCCGAAGAGAAAGGUGACGUCCAGUCCUUUCACGUGACUGCAUCUAAGUGUCCUCUGCCAGCAGUGGAUAUUCGGGCACUUCAUCCUCACGACCCUGUGUUGUAGAUAUUACUGUCUCCAUUUUGUGGAUGAGGAAUGGGUUUCUACCUGGGGAGAAUUCUGGACAAAUUUUAACCUGGAUCAGGACAAUAGUGGUAUGGCUGUCUUGACUGUUUUCCUUGCCUCAUGCUACCACAUUGACUGAUGAGACCUCCCUGAAGCUUCUAUAUCGUGAAGAUUUAUCUUAUUCUUAUAGAAGAUUCCCAAUACGUGAAUUCCCAGCAAGUAAACCUGUGACUCAGAGGAGCUGCCCAGCUAUUAUUCUAUGGAACCCAGGGAAAGAAAUCCUAGCUCAGCCACACACAGAGCAGCAUCUAUUGGAAAUGCCUCCUUCUUGGAAAUGGAGUACUGGGUCUUUGCUGGUGCCUGUAUGGUGCUGGAGAGCCAUUGAAGGAUUUUAUGCUAGAACCUCAUGUAAUAGGAUUGGCCUUUGGAAAGAUCUUCCCGGCUGCCAUGUGGAGGCUGGCCCAGAGCUGCACCAUGCGGGAAGCAGGAAGUCUCGUCUCAGAGACCAGCAAGCGGGCCAUGGUGUGAUUUCAGUCAGGGGUGGGGAGGGCCUGAACUAGGAUCGAAGAUGCUAACGUGGAUUUGAGCGCUCACUGGAAGGGAAAGUAUGUGUUGGGUUACUGAAGAGUAGGGAAAAUAAUACAACUUUGACUUAAGAAAUGGACUUUGCUAAACAAAUCUUUUCACAAACUGGUCUCCUAGAAAGGGCUCUGAGGGCACAGCUAACCAAACAACUAUCCUUUCCAGGCAAGAGUUUCCCCACCAGGUGAAUGGUUUGCCAUGUUUCCAAUUCCAGGAACUAGCUGGAAUAACACUUAUGCAAUGAGAAUGCACGAGGCCCACCUCCAGGAGCCUGGCUGGUGGAGAACUUGGCAAGACUGGAGUCCUCUGCGGAGUGGAAACUUCUGCUGCUCUGCUUCAAGGGAACUUUCCUUGGACGGCUGACCUCAGAGGAAGUCAGAACGGGCUGCGUGGAAGGCUGCAUGGGUCUGGGCCUGGAGCCACUGGCAAAGAGGAGCCGGGGAUGGGUGGGAGAGCACAACAGCACUUCAUGAACAAGUCUAUGGUAGAGGAAGCGGAAGACACUAUGUUGGUAGGAAACCCUGCUGUCUUUCCCAGGCAGUGGAUAAAAUGAGGGCUUAGGAGCCAAAAUAGCCUGCUCUGUCACUUCAGCACUGUGUGACACUGGCAAAGUCACUUCUCUGAGACAAGAGUCCUUUUAUGUAAAAUGGAGAUACGUGUAGUACUCACCUUUUAGGUCAUUGCAAGGAUAAGCUAUAAUGAAUGAAAACUGCUCGUACUUUGCUCAGCACCUUCUAGAAAGUCAGUAAGUGGUAGUUACUGAUUGAAGAGUCUUAACUCUCUAACAAAUACAGCUCCCAGAUGGUUGGGGAGGUGGAAGGAAGGUAGAAGGCCAACUAUCAAAUAAAAGGACAAGUAAAGAAUACGCUUAUAACAAUAGAGCCAUGCUCACUUUAUGCAUCUAGGGAUCUAGGGUGAAUAGAGUUUCUGAAUAUUUCCAAACCAAAUCAUUCUUAAAACCUCAAGGAGGUUUCUUAUUUACAGGUGAGUCUUUUUGUAAAACUGAUGCUACUACUGAUGAUAAUACAGUGCUACCAAAUCACCAGAGGCUCUUAGAGGAAAGAGAUUAUUUGCAUAUCUUCAGAAACUCUUUGGCACUCUUUCUUUCUUAUUAAAUAGAAUUGUUUUUUGAAUCCCA
This is a non-coding RNA of Macaca mulatta (Rhesus monkey), 3994 nucleotides long. The record is from RefSeq and is a predicted model, not a curated record. NCBI's taxonomy places the organism in Eukaryota, Metazoa, Chordata, Mammalia, Primates, Cercopithecidae.